AGACCCGAAACCCGGUGAUCUAGCCAUGGGCAGGUUGAAGGUUGGGUAACACUAACUGGAGGACCGAACCGACUAAUGUUGAAAAAUUAGCGGAUGACCUGUGGCUGGGGGUGAAAGGCCAAUCAAACCGGGAGAUAGCUGGUUCUCCCCGAAAGCUAUUUAGGUAGCGCCUCGUGAAUUCAUCUCCGGGGGUAGAGCACUGUUUCGGCUAGGGGGCCAUCCCGGCUUACCAACCCGAUGCAAACUGCGAAUACCGGAGAAUGUUAUCACGGGAGACACACGGCGGGUGCUAACGUCCGUCGUGAAGAGGGAAACAACCCAGACCGCCAGCUAAGGUCCCAAAGUCAUGGUUAAGUGGGAAACGAUGUGGGAAGGCCCAGACAGCCAGGAUGUUGGCUUAGAAGCAGCCAUCAUUUAAAGAAAGCGUAAUAGCUCACUGGUCGAGUCGGCCUGCGCGGAAGAUGUAACGGGGCUAAACCAUGCACCGAAGCUGCGGCAGCGAACGUAUCACUUAAAGCGAUUCAGCGGGUUACGAUUGACGGAGCGAAGCGACGUCAAAGCGUAUACAAAGUCGAGUCGGUUUAAGGAUACGUUCGUUGGGUAGGGGAGCGUUCUGUAAGCCUGUGAAGGUGUGUCGUGAGGCAUGCUGGAGGUAUCAGAAGUGCGAAUGCUGACAUAAGUAACGAUAAAGCGGGUGAAAAGCCCGCUCGCCGGAAGACCAAGGGUUCCUGUCCAACGUUAAUCGGGGCAGGGUGAGUCGACCCCUAAGGCGAGGCCGAAAGGCGUAGUCGAUGGGAAACGGGUUAAUAUUCCCGUACUUGGUGUUACUGCGAAGGGGGGACGGAGAAGGCUAUGUUGGCCGGGCGACGGUUGUCCCGGUUUAAGCGUGUAGGUGUGUGUUCCAGGUAAAUCCGGUUCACUUUAACACUGAGGCGUGAUGACGAGG
Molecule: ribosomal RNA, 946 nt
Filed under: Salmonella enterica subsp. enterica serovar Infantis
Lineage: Bacteria; Pseudomonadati; Pseudomonadota; Gammaproteobacteria; Enterobacterales; Enterobacteriaceae
Description: partial 23S ribosomal RNA
Rfam family: Bacterial large subunit ribosomal RNA
Source: RNAcentral